GAUGAACGCUGGCGGCGUGCCUAAUACAUGCGAGUCGAGCGAACAGACGAGGAGCUUGCUCCUCUGACGUUAGCGGCGGACGGGUGAGUAACACGUGGAUAACCUACCUAUAAGACUGGGAUAACUUCGGGAAACCGGAGCUAAUACCGGAUAAUAUAUUGAACCGCAUGGUUCAAUAGUGAAAGACGGUUUUGCUGUCACUUAUAGAUGGAUCCGCGCCGCAUUAGCUAGUUGGUAAGGUAACGGCUUACCAAGGCAACGAUGCGUAGCCGACCUGAGAGGGUGAUCGGCCACACUGGAACUGAGACACGGUCCAGACUCCUACGGGAGGCAGCGGUAGGGAAUCUUCCGCAAUGGGCGAAAGCCUGACGGAGCAACGCCGCGUGAGUGAUGAAGGUCUUCGGAUCGUAAAACUCUGUUAUUAGGGAAGAACAAAUGUGUAAGUAACUAUGCACGUCUUGACGGUACCUAAUCAGAAAGCCACGGCUAACUACGUG
Molecule: ribosomal RNA, 497 nt
Filed under: uncultured bacterium
Lineage: Bacteria
Description: partial 16S ribosomal RNA
Rfam family: Bacterial small subunit ribosomal RNA
Source: RNAcentral